RNAcentral lists this ribosomal RNA (473 nucleotides) under uncultured bacterium. RNAcentral's name for it is "bacterial SSU rRNA". It matches the Rfam family "Bacterial small subunit ribosomal RNA", at positions 335 to 802 of the family's 1533-position model. The record is from RNAcentral.
ACUCCUACGGGAGGCAGCAGUAGGGAAUCUUCCACAAUGGACGAAAGUCUGAUGGAGCAACGCCGCGUGAGUGAAGAAGGGUUUCGGCUCGUAAAACUCUGUUGUUAAAGAAGAACAUAUCUGAGAGUAACUGUUCAGGUAUUGACGGUAUUUAACCAGAAAGCCACGGCUAACUACGUGCCAGCAGCCGCGGUAAUACGUAGGUGGCAAGCGUUGUCCGGAUUUAUUGGGGCGUAAAGCGAGCGCAGGCGGUUUUUAAGUCUGAUGUGAAAGCCUUCGGCUCAACCGAAGAAGUGCAUCGGAAACUGGGAAACUUGAGUGCAGAAGAGGACAGUGGAACUCCAUGUGUAGCGGUGAAAUGCGUAGAUAUAUGGAAGAACACCAGUGGCGAAGGCGGCUGUCUGGUCUGUAACUGACGCUGAGGCUCGAAAGUAUGGGUAGCAAACAGGAUUAGAUAACCUGGUAGGAUAGCG